GACGAACGCUGGCGGCGUGCUUAACACAUGCAAGUCGAACGGAAAGGCCCUGCUUUUGUGGGGUGCUCGAGUGGCGAACGGGUGAGUAACACGUGAGUAACCUGCCCUUGACUUUGGGAUAACUUCAGGAAACUGGGGCUAAUACCGGAUAGGAGCUCCUGCUGCAUGGUGUGGGUUGGAAAGUUUCGGCGGUGGGGGAUGGACUCGCGGCUUAUCAGCUUGUUGGUGGGGUAGUGGAUGACCAAGGCUUUGACGGGUAGCCGGCCUGAGAGGGUGACCGGCCACAUUGGGACUGAGAUACGGCCCAGACUCCUACGGGAGGCAGCAGUGGGGAUUAUUGCACAAUGGGCGGACGCCUGAUGCAGCAACGCCGCGUGCGGGAUGCCGGCCUUCGGGUUGUAAACCGCUUUCGCCUGUGACGAAGCGUGAGUGACGGUAAUGGGUAAAGAAGCACCGGCUAACUACGUG
This 468-nucleotide ribosomal RNA is filed under the name uncultured bacterium. Its description in RNAcentral is "partial 16S ribosomal RNA". It matches the Rfam family "Bacterial small subunit ribosomal RNA", at positions 28 to 507 of the family's 1533-position model. The record is from RNAcentral.